Molecule: non-coding RNA, 549 nt
Organism: Parasteatoda tepidariorum (common house spider)
Lineage: Eukaryota; Metazoa; Arthropoda; Arachnida; Araneae; Theridiidae
Source: RefSeq, a predicted model, not a curated record
GUCUUCAGUAAAUGAAAUAACAAAAAGUUUAAAUUUUUUAAAUUGCGUUGAAAAUGUUUUUCUAAUCCUCUACGCUCUUCUAUAGUAAUAAGUUGAAAAAUUAUGCUAUAUAAAAUUGUUCUAGAGACAUUUUCCAUUCAUUACCCGCCUUAUUUCAUAUGUUGAUAUGAGGAUCAUCAGUUGCUCAAGAGGACUUUUUGUUUGCUUUCGAGGUCAAAUACGGCUUAGCGGCGUAAAUUUCUAGAAAAGAGGUAAACGAGCUGAAUGGAAAAUCGUAGACAAAGGAAGAAAGAAUCAUUAAAGACGAGUUAACGACGAGUUGCACGAGGCUUUUGUACUGCUCUUCGCAAAAACGCACUUUUCGAAUUAUGUGAAGUUUAACGUUCAUCUAUCAAAGAAAAAUUCUGAAUUGAAAUCGAAUUCGCUUGAAUGAAGCAAGAUUGUGCAACUAGCGAAAAAUUAUCUUUUGAAACAAAGACGAUCUGAGCUCAAAGCUGACAUUCUUCGUAUGGUUCUGCAGACGAUAUUUAAAGAAGAAAAUGUUUUUAA